GAUCAACGCUGGCGGCGUGCAUGAGACAUGCAAGUCGAACGGACGAUCAAAGCUUGCUUUGAUCGUUAGUGGCGGACGGCUGAGUAACGCGUGGGUGACCUGUCCCGAAGUGGGGAAUAACUGCCCGAAAGGGUGGCUAAUACCGCAUGUGGUGAUGUGUUCAAUCGCAUCAUCAAAGCCGUAAGGCGCUUCGGGAGGGGCCUGCGUCCGAUUAGCUCGUUGGCGAGGUAACGGCUCACCAAGGCGACGAUCGGUA
RNAcentral lists this ribosomal RNA (256 nucleotides) under uncultured bacterium. RNAcentral's name for it is "partial 16S ribosomal RNA". It matches the Rfam family "Bacterial small subunit ribosomal RNA", at positions 28 to 285 of the family's 1533-position model. The record is from RNAcentral.